RNAcentral lists this ribosomal RNA (588 nucleotides) under uncultured bacterium. RNAcentral describes it as "bacterial SSU rRNA". It matches the Rfam family "Bacterial small subunit ribosomal RNA", at positions 153 to 738 of the family's 1533-position model. The record is from RNAcentral.
GAAACUGGGAUUAAUACUCCAUAGUCUUCAAUGAUCGCAUGAGAAAUGAAGUAAAGCUCCGGCGGUACAAGAUGGGCGUGCGUCCCAUUAGUUUGUUGGUGAGGUAACGGCUCACCAAGACAGCGAUGGGUAGCUGGCGUGAGAGCGCGACCAGCCACACUGGCACUGAGACACGGGCCAGACUCCUACGGGAGGCAGCAGUAGGGAAUAUUGGUCAAUGGGCGAAAGCCUGAACCAGCCAUGCCGCGUGGAGGAUGACUGCCCUCAGGGUUGUAAACUCCUUUUAUUUGGGAAGAAACCCCGGAAUUCACUUCCGGGCUGACGGUACCAUAUGAAUAAGCACCGGCUAACUCCGUGCCAGCAGCCGCGGUAAUACGGAGGGUGCAAGCGUUAUCCGGAUUCACUGGGUUUAAAGGGUGCGCAGGCGGGAUAUUAAGUCAGAGGUGAAAGCCCCGAGCUCAACUUGGGAACUGCCUUUGAAACUGAUAUUCUUGAAUAUAGUUGAGGCUGGCGGAAUACAACAUGUAGCGGUGAAAUGCAUAGAUAUGUUGUAGAACACCAAUUGCGAAGGCAGCUAGCUAAACUAUC